CCUACGGGGAGCAGCAGUGAGGAAUAUUGGUCAAUGGCCGGAAGGCUGAACCAGCCAUGCCGCGUGAAGGUCAGUGCCCUAUGGGCGUUAAACUUCUUUUGUGCGGGAGCAAUAAUGGUCACGUGUGGCCAGACGAGAGUACCGUACGAAUAAGCAUCGGCUAACUCCGUGCCAGCAGCCGCGGUAAUACGGGGGAUGCAAGCGUUAGCCGGAUUUAUUGGGUUUAAAGGGUGCGUAGGCUGGGAGGUAAGUCAGCGGGGAAAUGCCCCCGCUCAACGGGGUGAAGUGCCAUUGAUACAGCCUUGCUGGAAUGCGGAUGCCGUGGGAGGAAUGUGUGGUGUAGCGGUGAAAUGCAUAGAUAUCACACAGAACACCGAUUGCGAAGGCAUCUCACGAAUCCGCGAUUGACGCUGAUGCACGAAAGCGUGGGUAUCAAACAGGAUUAGAUACCCGGGUAGUC
RNAcentral lists this ribosomal RNA (460 nucleotides) under uncultured bacterium. RNAcentral describes it as "partial 16S ribosomal RNA". It matches the Rfam family "Bacterial small subunit ribosomal RNA", at positions 338 to 795 of the family's 1533-position model. The record is from RNAcentral.